RNAcentral lists this ribosomal RNA (1346 nucleotides) under uncultured bacterium. Its description in RNAcentral is "bacterial SSU rRNA". It matches the Rfam family "Bacterial small subunit ribosomal RNA", at positions 28 to 1381 of the family's 1533-position model. The record is from RNAcentral.
GACGAACGCUGGCGGCGUGCUUAACACAUGCAAGUCGAACGGAAAGGCCCUGCUUUUGUGGGGUGCUCGAGUGGCGAACGGGUGAGUAACACGCGAGUAACCUGCCCUUGACUUUGGGAUAACUUCAGGAAACUGGGGCUAAUACCGGAUAGGAGCUCCUGCUGCAUGGUGGGGGUUGGAAAGUUUCGGCGGUUGGGGAUGGACUCGCGGCUUAUCAGCUUGUUGGUGGGGUAGUGGCUUACCAAGGCUUUGACGGGUAGCCGGCCUGAGAGGGUGACCGGCCACAUUGGGACUGAGAUACGGCCCAGACUCCUACGGGAGGCAGCAGUGGGGAAUAUUGCACAAUGGGCGGAAGCCUGAUGCAGCAACGCCGCGUGCGGGAUGACGGCCUUCGGGUUGUAAACCGCUUUCGCCUGUGACGAAGCGUGAGUGACGGUAAUGGGUAAAGAAGCACCGGCUAACUACGUGCCAGCAGCCGCGGUGAUACGUAGGGUGCGAGCGUUGUCCGGAUUUAUUGGGCGUAAAGGGCUCGUAGGUGGUUGAUCGCGUCGGAAGUGUAAUCUUGGGGCUUAACCCUGAGCGUGCUUUCGAUACGGGUUGACUUGAGGAAGGUAGGGGAGAAUGGAAUUCCUGGUGGAGCGGUGGAAUGCGCAGAUAUCAGGAGGAACACCAGUGGCGAAGGCGGUUCUCUGGGCCUUUCCUGACGCUGAGGAGCGAAAGCGUGGGGAGCGAACAGGCUUAGAUACCCUGGUAGUCCACGCUGUAAACGGUGGGUACUAGGUGUGGGGUCCAUUCCACGGGUUCCGUGCCGUAGCUAACGCUUUAAGUACCCCGCCUGGGGAGUACGGCCGCAAGGCUAAAACUCAAAGGAAUUGACGGGGCCCCGCACAAGCGGCGGAGCAUGCGGAUUAAUUCGAUGCAACGCGUAGAACCUUACCUGGGUUUGACAUGGAUCGGGAGUGCUCAGAGAUGGGUGUGCCUCUUUUGGGGUCGGUUCACAGGUGGUGCAUGCCUGUCGUCAGCUCGUGUCGUGAGAUGUUGGGUUAAGUCCCGCAACGAGCGCAACCCUUGUUCACUGUUGCCAGCACGUUAUGGUGGGGACUCAGUGGAGACCGCCGGGGUCAACUCGGAGGAAGGUGGGGAUGACGUCAAGUCCUCAUGCCCCUUAUGUCCAGGGCUUCACGCAUGCUACAAUGGCUGGUACAGAGAGUGGCGAGCCUGUGAGGGUGAGCGAAUCUCGGAAAGCCGGUCUCAGUUCGGAUUGGGGUCUGCAACUCGACCUCAUGAAGUCGGAGUCGCUAGUAAUCGCAGAUCAGCAACGCUGCGGUGAAUACGUUCCCGGGGCC